Molecule: ribosomal RNA, 440 nt
Filed under: uncultured bacterium
Lineage: Bacteria
Description: partial 16S ribosomal RNA
Rfam family: Bacterial small subunit ribosomal RNA
Source: RNAcentral
CCUACGGGAGGCAGCAGUGGGGAAUAUUGCACAAUGGGGGAAACCCUGAUGCAGCGACGCCGCGUGAGUGAAGAAGUAGUUCGGUAUGUAAAGCUCUAUCAGCAGGGAAGAAAAUGACGGUACCUGAUUAAGAAGCCCCGGCUAACUACGUGCCAGCAGCCGCGGUAAUACGUAGGGGGCAAGCGUUAUCCGGAUUUACUGGGUGUGAAGGGAGCGUAGACGGCAGCACAAGUCUGGAGGGAAAUGCCGGGGCUUAACCCCGGAACUGCUUUGGAAACUGUGCAGCUAGAGUGCAGGAGAGGUAAGUGGAAUUCCUGGUGUAGCGGUGAAAUGCGUAGAUAUUAGGAGGAACACCAGUGGCGAAGGCGGCUUACUGGACUGUAACUGUCGUUGAGGCUCGAAAGCGUGGGGAGCAAACAGGAUUAGAUACCCUAGUAGUC